GCCGAGUGGAACAACAUGACACUUUUAUUAAAGGUUCAAGUGACUAUCCUUUACAUUUCCUUGAACAGAGUGACUAAUCUUCAUUUUUGCCGGUGGUUUUGCCGUAGUCUUCAUCACCAAGUUCUGAACUUGUACAGGAGCUUCUGUUCCUCCAGUCAGGUUCCCCAUAAUGGAGAUAGCAAAAGAGAUAAGAAAAGUUUUUAGCAUAGUGGAGUGGCAUGAAAAAUUCAAGUGCAUUGCCUUUAGAUUUUUCUUUCAAUUUACCAAAGUGACUACCCUUAGUUUUGCCCUAGUGUUUAGAGAAAAGGUCUAGUCCUGAACUUGUACAGGAGUGUGUUUACCUCAAGACAGGGACACUGUGAUUAAGGUAGCAAGAGAAAUAAGAAAAGACAAAACCGUUUAGCCGAGUGGAACAACAUGGCGAUUUUAUUAAAGGUUCAACUGACUAUCCUUUAGAGUUCCUUGAACAGCAAGACUAACCUUUAUUUUUAUUAAAGGUUCAGGUGACUAGCCUUUAGAUUUCCUUGUUCUUGAACAGCGAGACUAAACUUUAGUUGUGCUGCUGGUUUUGCGGUAGUCUUUACCACCGAGGUAGAGACCUGAACUUCUACAGGAGCGUCUGUGUCUCAAGUCAUGUUCACCAUGAUUAAGGUAGCAAGAGGGAGAACAAGAACAAACUGUUUAGCGUAGGGGAACAACAUUACAUAAAAAAAAAAAAAGUUUAAAUGACUAUCCUUUGGAUUUACAUUAACAGAAUGACUAACUUUUAUUUUUGGUGUAGUCUUCAUCACCGAGUCCUGAACUUCUACAGGAGCGUGUUUACCUCCAGUCAGGUUCCCCAUAAUGGAGAGAGCAGAAGAGGUAAAAAGAAAAAAAGAAAAAAGACAAAUAAGUGUGAGUCAUAGUAGAGCACCAAGACUGUUCUAAAAGUUCAGGUUCCUAGAUUUUAGAUUUGGACAAUAAGUUUGUCAUUGUGUCUAGACUUUAGUUUUUUCACUGCUUUCACUAUAGUGUUUACCUCAGAGGUCAAGUCCUGACUGGUCACCUGAACUUGUAUAGGAGCUUAUUUCCCUCGACAGGUACACCAUGAUUGAGGUGGCAAGGGAGGAAUAAAAAGACACAAGUUUUUAAUAUAUUGGAGCAGAAUAACAUACAGUUGUAGUGCAUUGCCUUUAGAUUUUUC
Molecule: long non-coding RNA, 1183 nt
Organism: Ictalurus punctatus (channel catfish)
Lineage: Eukaryota; Metazoa; Chordata; Actinopteri; Siluriformes; Ictaluridae
Source: Ensembl